UACGGAGGAUCCGAGCGUUAUCCGGAUUUAUUGGGUUUAAAGGGUGCGCAGGCGGGAGAUUAAGUCGGCGGUGAAAUUUUGCAGCUCAACUGUAAAAGUGCCAUUGAUACUGGUUUCCUUGAGUGUGGAUGAAGUAGGCGGAAUUUGUGGUGUAGCGGUGAAAUGCAUAGAUAUUACACAGAACACCGAUUGCGAAGGCAGCUUACUAAUCCAUCAUUGACGCUGAGGCACGAAAGCGUGGGGAUCAAACAGGAUUAGA
Molecule: ribosomal RNA, 259 nt
Filed under: uncultured prokaryote
Description: partial 16S ribosomal RNA
Rfam family: Bacterial small subunit ribosomal RNA
Source: RNAcentral